RNAcentral lists this ribosomal RNA (1395 nucleotides) under uncultured bacterium. RNAcentral describes it as "bacterial SSU rRNA". It matches the Rfam family "Bacterial small subunit ribosomal RNA". The record is from RNAcentral.
AGAGUUUGAUCCUGGCUCAGAUUGAACGCUGGCGGCAGGCCUAACACAUGCAAGUCGAGCGGUAGCACAGAGAGCUUGCUCUCGGGUGACGAGCGGCGGACGGGUGAGUAAUGUCUGGGAAACUGCCUGAUGGAGGGGGAUAACUACUGGAAACGGUAGCUAAUACCGCAUAAUGUCGCAAGACCAAAGUGGGGGACCUUCGGGCCUCAUGCCAUCAGAUGUGCCCAGAUGGGAUUAGCUAGUAGGUGGGGUAACGGCUCACCUAGGCGACGAUCCCUAGCUGGUCUGAGAGGAUGACCAGCCACACUGGAACUGAGACACGGUCCAGACUCCUACGGGAGGCAGCAGUGGGGAAUAUUGCACAAUGGGCGCAAGCCUGAUGCAGCCAUGCCGCGUGUGUGAAGAAGGCCUUCGGGUUGUAAAGCACUUUCAGCGGGGAGGAAGGCGAUAAGGUUAAUAACCUUGUCGAUUGACGUUACCCGCAGAAGAAGCACCGGCUAACUCCGUGCCAGCAGCCGCGGUAAUACGGAGGGUGCAAGCGUUAAUCGGAAUUACUGGGCGUAAAGCGCACGCAGGCGGUCUGUCAAGUCGGAUGUGAAAUCACCGGGCUUAACCUGGGAACUGCAUUCGAAACUGGCAGGCUAGAGUCUUGUAGAGGGGGGUAGAAUUCCAGGUGUAGCGGUGAAAUGCGUAGAGAUCUGGAGGAAUACCGGUGGCGAAGGCGGCCCCCUGGACAAAGACUGACGCUCAGGUGCGAAAGCGUGGGGAGCAAACAGGAUUAGAUACCCUGGUAGUCCACGCCGUAAACGAUGUCGAUUUGGAGGUUGUGCCCUUGAGGCGUGGCUUCCGGAGCUAACGCGUUAAAUCGACCGCCUGGGGAGUACGGCCGCAAGGUUAAAACUCAAAUGAAUUGACGGGGGCCCGCACAAGCGGUGGAGCAUGUGGUUUAAUUCGAUGCAACGCGAAGAACCUUACCUGGUCUUGACAUCCACAGAACUUUCCAGAGAUGGAUUGGUGCCUUCGGGAACUGUGAGACAGGUGCUGCAUGGCUGUCGUCAGCUCGUGUUGUGAAAUGUUGGGUUAAGUCCCGCAACGAGCGCAACCCUUAUCCUUUGUUGCCAGCGGUUAGGCCGGGAACUCAAAGGAGACUGCCAGUGAUAAACUGGAGGAAGGUGGGGAUGACGUCAAGUCAUCAUGGCCCUUACGACCAGGGCUACACACGUGCUACAAUGGCAUAUACAAAGAGAAGCGACCUCGCGAGAGCAAGCGGACCUCAUAAAGUAUGUCGUAGUCCGGAUUGGAGUCUGCAACUCGACUCCAUGAAGUCGGAAUCGCUAGUAAUCGUAGAUCAGAAUGCUACGGUGAAUACGUUCCCGGGCCUUGCACACACCGCCC